Micropterus dolomieu (smallmouth bass) is the source of this 356-nucleotide long non-coding RNA. RefSeq lists it as uncharacterized. Lineage: Eukaryota; Metazoa; Chordata; Actinopteri; Centrarchiformes; Centrarchidae. The record is from RefSeq and is a predicted model, not a curated record. The transcript has 2 exons.
UCUUGGAGCAAAGAGCUUUCCACUGUGCAGCUUUCCCCCAGGGACUGUGAGGAGCUUUAUGGAUCUUAAUGAAAACAACCCAGGUGAUGCAACGUGAUGUCGAGUCUGAAAGCUGAAUACUUUCUCUUGCAGCAUAGUCCAAAAACAACGCUGAAGAUCUAAAGAUGAAGUGCAGUCAGCACCUCAUGAUCGUUGUUACUUUGUCUCUGGAUUAUGCCUCGUGUUCUGUCAUGGAUUAUAAAACCUCACUCACCGUACCUCCGAUGUGCAUGUGUGUGCACAUUGAUUCCCAAACCCCAGUUCCACGAAGAAACAGGACUAACAAUAAAAAUAAAAUUGGCUUGGUUAAACUUGAA